Molecule: ribosomal RNA, 497 nt
Filed under: uncultured bacterium
Lineage: Bacteria
Description: partial 16S ribosomal RNA
Rfam family: Bacterial small subunit ribosomal RNA
Source: RNAcentral
GAUGAACGCUGGCGGCGUGCCUAAUACAUGCAAGUCGAGCGAACGGACGAGAAGCUUGCUUCUCUGAUGUUAGCGGCGGACGGGUGAGUAACACGUGGAUAACCUACCUAUAAGACUGGGAUAACUUCGGGAAACCGGAGCUAAUACCGGAUAAUAUUUUGAACCGCAUGGUUCAAAAGUGAAAGACGGUCUUGCUGUCACUUAUAGAUGGAUCCGCGCUGCAUUAGCUAGUUGGUAAGGUAACGGCUUACCAAGGCAACGAUGCAUAGCCGACCUGAGAGGGUGAUCGGCCACACUGGAACUGAGACACGGUCCAGACUCCUACGGGAGGCAGCAGUAGGGAAUCUUCCGCAAUGGGCGAAAGCCUGACGGAGCAACGCCGCGUGAGUGAUGAAGGUCUUCGGAUCGUAAAACUCUGUUAUUAGGGAAGAACAUAUGUGUAAGUAACUUUGCACGUCUUGACGGUACCUAAUCAGAAAGCCACGGCUAACUACGUG